AAAAGAUCUUUGUCAAGAGUCUUCACCGACUCUUUGACAAAUUUCCUGAUCUCAUCCCUCUGUGCACCUUUAGAUCAUGCUUUGGUAGGUGAUUUCACCUACCAAAAGGUUUAUUCUACCUUUUUUCUUGACUGAUUUUUAUAAAUCUUAAAUCUAAAA
This 159-nucleotide unclassified non-coding RNA is filed under the name uncultured fungus. RNAcentral's name for it is "sequence contains ITS1". The record is from RNAcentral. Lineage: Eukaryota; Fungi.